RNAcentral lists this ribosomal RNA (405 nucleotides) under uncultured bacterium. RNAcentral describes it as "bacterial SSU rRNA". It matches the Rfam family "Bacterial small subunit ribosomal RNA", at positions 335 to 732 of the family's 1533-position model. The record is from RNAcentral.
ACUCCUACGGGAGGCAGCAGUGGGGAAUAUUGCACAAUGGGGAAACCCUGAUGCAGCCAUGCCGCGUGUGUGAAGAAGGCCUCGGUUGUAAAGCACUUCUAGUAGGGAGGAAGGUAGUGUAGUUAACACCUGCAUAUUUGUACGUUACCUACUAGAAGAAGCACCGGCUAACUCCGUGCCAGCAGCCGCGGUAAUACGGAGGGGUGCGAGCGUUAAUCGGAAUUACUGGGCGUAAAGCGCAUGCAGGCGGCCUGUUAAGUCAGAUGUGAAAGCCCGGGGGCUUAACCUCGGAAUUGCAUUUGAAACUGGCAGGCUAGAGUCUUGUAGAGGGGGUAGGAAUUUCAGGUGUAGCGGUGAAAUGCGUAGAGAUCUGAAGGAAUACCAGUGGCGAAGGCGGCCCCCUGG